CACGCCGUAAACGGUGGGCACUAGGUGUGGGUCACAUUCCACGUGAUCCGUGCCGUAGCUAACGCAUUAAGUGCCCCGCCUGGGGAGUACGGCCGCAAGGCUAAAACUCAAAGGAAUUGA
RNAcentral lists this ribosomal RNA (120 nucleotides) under uncultured bacterium. RNAcentral's name for it is "partial 16S ribosomal RNA". It matches the Rfam family "Bacterial small subunit ribosomal RNA", at positions 796 to 913 of the family's 1533-position model. The record is from RNAcentral.